Molecule: long non-coding RNA, 1179 nt
Filed under: Dromaius novaehollandiae (emu)
Lineage: Eukaryota; Metazoa; Chordata; Aves; Casuariiformes; Dromaiidae
Description: lncRNA (ENSDNVG00000005986.1)
Source: RNAcentral
CGUCCCGUGGCCACGCAGCCGUCCCACGGCCACGCUGGCCCUUUCUGCACCCAGCCUCCAAUGCCAUCAACAUGUCUGUGUGGUAACAACAUAGCUACUARUACAGGAGGGAAAUUUUGAGAAAUCAGUUUCAGCCUAGCCUUUAUGACGUGUCCUUCACUUCCUUUGCUGCCUUGAUUUUCACUCACACUUAAUUACAGGUAUUACGAGCAAGCCCGGUGAAGUCCACGUCUCCAUUCAUCCAUGAGGAUGUGCUCAUCCAUGGAGGACGGGGACCCAGAGUUUAUGAGUCUGUGAGUUGGGGCCACACAACGACACUCUUACAUGUAUAUUCCAUAGAUAGUGGAAACAUCCUUCCUGAAGACAAUGGAAGACACAGACCAAAUAAAGAAGGAAAUCUGGGUCAAUGAAAAUUAAAAAAUGGAGUCUAAACCAAAAUAUCUCUGCAGUAUGGAAAGGCACUUAGUAAUGACUCUGAAUUCAGAAUUAAUCACAGAAUUACAGCAAGGGUGGCAGGAAAUGGUAGAGAAGAGAAACAUGCUGAAACCAGCUGUCGCAGUAUCCUGUCUCCAUGGGAAGGAGAAUCUUGCAAGAACAGCUAUCCAAAUAGGUGCUUCUGGAUCUGGAGAGGAGACAUACUAGACAUCUGUACAACUUAUUGUGCAGUAUYAUACACAAAUUUGAUUUUGCUAAGUCCAGUUUCACAUCACCAGAUUUUAGUGGAUUUUUCAAUGUAAAAACUAUGUUACACAUUGUAAAGAAAUGUGAUGAGAACAAUGUGUUUUAUUAAGUGUUAUCUACCGAUAUUUUUGAAGGAAAAAAGAAAUGUAAAAAGACCUUUGCCUGUGCUUAAAAACUAAUUUCAACUUAUAUUCAUAUUUUACUCUUAUUUUAAGUGACUAGCUAAAUUAAAAAACCUACUGGUAAAAAUAUGCCUCAGUAAAGAGGAAAUGCUCCCCAAGAUUCAGCAUUAUGUUGUUUCUGCAACACAUUAAGUUAAUCCUUAAUUGAUACAAGGAAAAUAGUUUCACUUACAUUGACAGCUACAGAGCAAAAUUAUUUUCUGCAACACCUAACUAACUUUGAAAUGAAAGUUAAUGUCAUCCCACUUAAAUGUAUGCUGUUAACUAUUUAAAUCCUGUCCUAGAAUAAACAUUCAGUUUACUAUGCUAUCUUACA